Molecule: long non-coding RNA, 798 nt
Organism: Alligator mississippiensis (American alligator)
Lineage: Eukaryota; Metazoa; Chordata; Crocodylia; Alligatoridae
Exons: 2
Source: RefSeq, a predicted model, not a curated record
CCCAAACCGCGCGAGGAUGGGCAGACCGCGGCCGCCCUCCCACGUGGCAGGAGGUGGGGUUCCAGAGGGAGGCUCCGCCUACGGCCCAUGUGGCUGUGGCUGGGGCAGGGCAGGACAGUCUUCGAGCCCCGCCCCGCCCCGCCGGUAGCUGUCGUCAGAGCCCGGGGACCCAGUGGCGAGCCAUGCAGGGCGCUGCCGGCCUGGGCCUCUCCCGCCGGCGGGCUCCGAGGCUGGCCCCUGGCCCUGUGCCCGGCGGGCGGGACUGGUUCUUCCAGCAGACUCCGUGUCCAGGGCUGUGAAAGGAACCUGCUCUACCCUGUGCGAGCGUCUCUCACCCGCUCCCGAAAGAAGCGGACAAUAAUGCAAACGGCGCCCGGGAAAUAGGCAAACCGGGGCGGGCUGGCGGUGGAAGCUGCAGGGCUGAAUGAAGAAACUGCUGCGGCUUGGAGUGCUACUGCCUUGUGCAUCUGUGAGCUCCGGCCAAGGUCUGAUCCCUCGUGGAACAGAAGGAAGGAAACUUGAAUGGAAAACAGGAGAAUGCAGGGGUCUUCCUAUCCUAGCAUCUUCCUGGAAAGCAGCCCUGUCCAGCUGUGACAGAAAUGCUACUGAGAGGUCCCCACAGUGCAGUAGGCACAGUGGUUCUCACACUGCAGAUCUCAGACUAAUUAGCCCUCCUGAAUGCACUGAGGGCUAGAUUCCCCUCCAGCCCUGCCUGCUGGCCCCUUCACAUCAACACUGGAUUAGGCCAACAGGGAAGGGUGUGCGCAACUUACCCAGAAUAACAACCCAAGCACCAGG